This 497-nucleotide ribosomal RNA is filed under the name uncultured bacterium. Its description in RNAcentral is "partial 16S ribosomal RNA". It matches the Rfam family "Bacterial small subunit ribosomal RNA", at positions 28 to 507 of the family's 1533-position model. The record is from RNAcentral.
GAUGAACGCUGGCGGCGUGCCUAAUACAUGCAAGUCGAGCGAACAGACGAGGAGCUUGCUCCUCUGACGUUAGCGGCGGACGGGUGAGUAACACGUGGAUAACCUACCUAUAAGACUGGGAUAACUUCGGGAAACCGGAGCUAAUACCGGAUAAUAUAUUGAACCGCAUGGUUCAAUAGUGAAAGACGGUUUUGCUGUCACUUAUAGAUGGAUCCGCGCCGCAUUAGCUAGUUGGUAAGGUAACGGCUCACCAAGGCAACGAUGCGUAGCCGACCUGAGAGGGUGAUCGGCCACACUGGAACUGAGACACGGUCCAGACUCCUACGGGAGGCAGCAGUAGGGAAUCUUCCGCAAUGGGCGAAAGCUUGACGGAGCAACGCCGCGUGAGUGAUGAAGGUCUUCGGAUCGUAAAACUCUGUUAUUAGGGAAGAACAAAUGUGUAAGUAACUAUGCACGUCUUGACGGUACCUAAUCAGAAAGCGACGGCUAACUACGUG